GCCGGUCCUCGGUAGUGGCCCCCGGUCAUCAUGGCGUAAGCCGUACGGAACCGGGCGCUUCGAUCGAAGACCGGC
Molecule: regulatory RNA element, 75 nt
Organism: Streptosporangium subroseum
Lineage: Bacteria; Bacillati; Actinomycetota; Actinomycetes; Streptosporangiales; Streptosporangiaceae
Rfam family: Actino-pnp RNA
Source: Rfam